AGAGUUUGAUCAUGGCUCAGAACGAACGCUGGCGGCGUGGAUAAGACAUGCAAGUCGAACGGGACUUAAUCUGUAGCAAUACAGGUUAAGUUUAGUGGCGAACGGGUGCGUAACACGUGGGCAAUCUGCCGAGAAGUGGGGGAUAGCUCGCCGAAAGGCGAAUUAAUACCGCAUAUGAUCAGGGACGACAUCUUCCCAACAUCAAAGCCGGGGUAACCUGGCGCUUCUUGAUGAGCCCGCGGCCUAUCAGCUAGUUGGUGAGGUAACGGCUCACCAAGGCUAUGACGGGUAGCUGGUCUGAGAGGACGACCAGUCACACUGGAACUGAGACACGGUCCAGACACCUACGGGUGGCAGCAGUCGAGAAUUUUUCUCAAUGGGGGAAACCCUGAAGGAGCGACGCCGCGUGGAGGAUGAAGGCUUUCGGGUUGUAAACUCCUGUCAUUUGAGAACAUGUGUGGUGAAGUAACUACUCACCACUUGAUAGUAUCAGAAGAGGAAGAGACGGCUAACUCUGUGCCAGCAGCCGCGGUAAUACAGAGGUCUCAAGCGUUGUUCGGAUUCAUUGGGCGUAAAGGGUGCGUAGGUGGCGGGGUAAGUCAGGUGUGAAAUUUCGGAGCUCAACUCCGAAACUGCAUUUGAUACUGCCUUGCUUGAGGACUGGAGAGGAGACUGGAAUUCACGGUGUAGCAGUGAAAUGCGUAGAGAUCGUGAGGAAGACAGUGGCGAAGGGGGUCUCUGGACAGUUCCUGACACUGAGGCACGAAGGCCAGGGGAGCAAACGGGAUUAGAUACCCUAGUAGUCC
RNAcentral lists this ribosomal RNA (806 nucleotides) under uncultured bacterium. Its description in RNAcentral is "bacterial SSU rRNA". It matches the Rfam family "Bacterial small subunit ribosomal RNA", at positions 8 to 796 of the family's 1533-position model. The record is from RNAcentral.